RNAcentral lists this microRNA (24 nucleotides) under Zea mays. Its description in RNAcentral is "microRNA miR-3177". The record is from RNAcentral. Lineage: Eukaryota; Viridiplantae; Streptophyta; Magnoliopsida; Poales; Poaceae.
ACUGGCAAUGACAUGGAAGGGGAA